Molecule: long non-coding RNA, 915 nt
Organism: Populus euphratica (Euphrates poplar)
Lineage: Eukaryota; Viridiplantae; Streptophyta; Magnoliopsida; Malpighiales; Salicaceae
Exons: 3
Source: RefSeq, a predicted model, not a curated record
CUCAAAUCCAUCCCAGAAGUACCAUCGUAAUUCAGCAAACUUGUAUAGCCAUGACUUGCAAUAAAAUAGUCGGCGUGAUACUGAUCAUCCAGGCGUGCUUGGUGCAGAUUCGCCUUCGACAAAGAAGGUUUUGAUUGAUCAAAAGAUUGAGGAUUGAGAGGCUUAUGGGUUCUUGGAUCAAUUCCUUGGCUUAUCAGCUUCUUACUCAGGAGUCGAUGGAGGCGGAGAAUGAGAUCUUCUUCAUCAUCGGCGAUCUGGCCACGUUUAACAGAAGGGCGGAGGUAGUUCAUCCAGCGGAGACGGCAGCUCUUGCCACAGCGGAGGAGACCGGCUUUCUUGGGUAAAGUUCGCCACCGACCUUCACCUUCUUUCUUGAUAUAGUUAACAAGGAGUUCAUCUUCCUCUGGUGUCCACGGUCCUCUCUUUAACCCUACCUUGAUGCAGCAUGGGGUGGUCUUUGCUGCUGAUUCUGCUGUUGUAGCUGAAGUUGGUUUUCUCAUCUUGAUUAAUAUUUUAUUGGAAGUGCUCGAUACAUCGAUAUAUUGGAUUCAGCUAAGCUUUAUCUUACCUACCUUUUUCUUGUUUUCUUUCUAUAUUUGUUUUUUGAGUUGUGGUAAUAUCUAGGAUGCUGUAUAUGUGUACAUUUAGAAUGUUGUGUGAUGAUGAUAUGAUGAGCAUGAGGGUUGAUGGAUAGAAAGGAGGAGGAUGAGGGUAGGGUACGGUAGGGUAGGGGCUCUUCUCCCUUCUUCUUCUUCUUCUUCUUUUUGUGUUGAGAGUGAUUUCUUCUUGGGAUCAGACGGUGUAAGGUUUGUUGGGUCUAAUGUGGAGCAGUAAAGACACUGAUAAAUAGGCAAUCGCCUUAUAAGGGGAGUGCACGUGACGACACCCUAUUCAUCCAUCCAUUCAAUUUCAUCU